Molecule: ribosomal RNA, 483 nt
Filed under: uncultured bacterium
Lineage: Bacteria
Description: partial 16S ribosomal RNA
Rfam family: Bacterial small subunit ribosomal RNA
Source: RNAcentral
GAUGAACGCUAGCGGCAGGCUUAAUACAUGCAAGUCGAGGGGGCAGCAAUGUCACCGGCGAACGGGUGCGUAACGCGUAUGCAACCUACCUACAUCAGGGGGAUAGCCCUAGGAAACUGGGAUUAACACCGCAUAACAUAUGACAAGGCAUCUUGUUAUAUGGGAAUAUUUAUAGGACGGAGAUGGGCAUGCGUAGGAUUAGCUAGUUGGUAAGGUAACGGCUUACCAAGGCUACGAUCCUUGGGGGCUCUGAGAGGAGUAUCCCCCACACUGGCACUGAGAUACGGGCCAGACUCCUACGGGAGGCAGCAGUAGGGAAUAUUGGGCAAUGGAGGCAACUCUGACCCAGCCAUGCCGCGUGCAGGAAGACGGUCCUCUGGAUUGUAAACUGCUUUUGAAUGGGAAGAAUGUGUGGCUUGCGAGCUAUAAUGACGGUACCAUUAGAAUAAGCCACGGCUAACUACGUGCCAGCAGCCGCCGUAA